RNAcentral lists this ribosomal RNA (778 nucleotides) under uncultured Neocallimastigales. RNAcentral's name for it is "partial large subunit ribosomal RNA". It matches the Rfam family "Eukaryotic large subunit ribosomal RNA", at positions 19 to 646 of the family's 3401-position model. Lineage: Eukaryota; Fungi; Neocallimastigomycota; Neocallimastigomycetes; Neocallimastigales. The record is from RNAcentral.
CGAGCACGCGCGUGUGGCAUAUCAAUAAGCGGAGGAAAAGAAACUAACAAGGAUUCCCUUAGUAACGGCGAGUGUAAGCGGGAAGAGCUCAAAUUUGAAAUCUUCAAGGUUCUACCUUGACGAAUUGUAGUUUAUAGAAGUGUUUUCUGUUAGUGGAGUGGCAAAAGUUCUUUGGAAUAGGACAUCACAGAGGGUGAGAAUCCCGUAUUUGGUCAUUCCUCCUAGCGUUGUGAUACACUUUCAACGAGUCGGAUUGUUUGGGAAUGCAGUCCAAGAUGGGUGGUAAAUUUCAUCUAAAGCUAAAUAUUGGCGAGAGACCGAUAGCGAACAAGUACCGUGAGGGAAAGAUGAAAAGAACUUUGAAAAGAGAGUUAAACAGUACGUGAAAUUGUCAAAAGGGAAGCGUUUGACACCAGUGUUGUUUUUCCGAAAAUCAAUUACGAAUGUUUUAUUUUUGAGGAGUUAUGACUUCAUCGGCUUGCUUCCUUUCUUUACUGAAACUUUCUUAAUGCACUUUUCGGUUAACAAGUCAACAUCAAUUUCUUUUGUUGUAAAAGGGUAUGAGGAAGGUGGCUUUCUUUUCGGAGAAAGUGUUUAUAGCCUUGUGCCUCUGACAAUCGGAGAGAUUGAGGUCUGCAGCGUAGAUCCUUCGGGGUUAGAUACGUUUGUGCUAAGUUAUAGCUUUUCAUAGACAACUUGUUGACUAUGUUUAGUCUUGUAGCUUACUCGCUUACGCUAUUUUACCUACGCUUAGGAUGUUGAUGUGAUACUGCGAGCA